UACAGAGGUCUCAAGCGUUGUUCGGAUUCAUUGGGCGUAAAGGGUGCGUAGGCGGCGCUUUAAGUCGGGUGUGAAAUCUUGGAGCUUAACUCCGAAACUGCAUUCGAUACUGCCGUGCUUGAGGACUGGAGAGGAGACUGGAAUUUACGGUGUAGCGGUGAAAUGCGUAGAUAUCUGGAGGAACACCGGUGGCGAAGGCGGCAUCCUGGACCAACACUGACGCUGAUGAGCGAAAGCCAGGGGAGCAAACGGG
Molecule: ribosomal RNA, 253 nt
Filed under: uncultured bacterium
Lineage: Bacteria
Description: partial 16S ribosomal RNA
Rfam family: Bacterial small subunit ribosomal RNA
Source: RNAcentral